Oncorhynchus tshawytscha (Chinook salmon) is the source of this 463-nucleotide long non-coding RNA. RefSeq lists it as uncharacterized. The transcript has 4 exons. The record is from RefSeq and is a predicted model, not a curated record. NCBI's taxonomy places the organism in Eukaryota, Metazoa, Chordata, Actinopteri, Salmoniformes, Salmonidae.
GCACCAUAGGACACAUUUACGCACGGAUACAUAGAGGGGUGCCGAAAUAGAAACACGCGCACGGGCGUGCUAACUUUACCCCCAACUCACUUACACCUCACUCACACAGACAUGAUGAAACGCGCACACGCACGCACGUUGUCGCCAGUGGAGACACGCGGGCCACCGUGGACUGCGGUAUAAAACAGAAGAGCCAGAUUCUCACAAAACUCUAUGUAAAAGGAUUGGCGCGUGAGAGAGGAGAGGAGACGAACCAGACAUGAAUAGAGCUACUAAAACCCACAUGACCUCCCCAUGUUUUUCCCUGGCAUGGGUAUGGCCCCUUUUUUCAAGGUGACUGUGUUUGAGCAGGAGCACUUCCAGGGCAAGUGCCAGGAGUUCACCUCUGAGUGCUGUAACAUCCAGAACUGUGGUCUGGACAACAUCCGUUCUAUCAGAGUGGAGAGUGGAGCCUGGGUGGGCU